RNAcentral lists this ribosomal RNA (555 nucleotides) under uncultured bacterium. RNAcentral's name for it is "partial 16S ribosomal RNA". It matches the Rfam family "Bacterial small subunit ribosomal RNA", at positions 355 to 902 of the family's 1533-position model. The record is from RNAcentral.
UGGGGAAUUUUGGACAAUGGGGGAAACCCUGAUCCAGCCAUCCCGCGUGUGCGAUGAAGGCCUUCGGGUUGUAAAGCACUUUUGGCAGGAAAGAAACGUCGCGGGUUAAUACCCCGCGAAACUGACGGUACCUGCAGAAUAAGCACCGGCUAACUACGUGCCAGCAGCCGCGGUAAUACGUAGGGUGCAAGCGUUAAUCGGAAUUACUGGGCGUAAAGCGUGCGCAGGCGGUUCGGAAAGAAAGAUGUGAAAUCCCAGAGCUUAACUUUGGAACUGCAUUUUUAACUACCGGGCUAGAGUGUGUCAGAGGGAGGUGGAAUUCCGCGUGUAGCAGUGAAAUGCGUAGAUAUGCGGAGGAACACCGAUGGCGAAGGCAGCCUCCUGGGAUAACACUGACGCUCAUGCACGAAAGCGUGGGGAGCAAACAGGAUUAGAUACCCUGGUAGUCCACGCCCUAAACGAUGUCAACUAGCUGUUGGGGCCUUCGGGCCUUGGUAGCGCAGCUAACGCGUGAAGUUGACCGCCUGGGGAGUACGGUCGCAAGAUUAAAAACUU